Molecule: long non-coding RNA, 534 nt
Organism: Galleria mellonella (greater wax moth)
Lineage: Eukaryota; Metazoa; Arthropoda; Insecta; Lepidoptera; Pyralidae
Exons: 3
Source: RefSeq, a predicted model, not a curated record
CUAGGUCCCAGCAUUGCAUCAUCAACAUGUACACGUCUGGUGGGCAUGCAUUCGGUGCUGAUAGCCGUUGGCCAUCGCGCACAAUUAAUCGGAGUAUUUCCGAUCCAUUCAAACCUGAAGAAGACUGGCGGCGGCGUGGUGAGCCAGGUUGCUAAGCUUCAGAAAAUAUGAUUGCACGUAAUAAUCGUCGACUGAGACGUUAUAUUCGUGAGCGUGUGCUGCUCUCAGAGACUAGUCUGCUGUUUACUACUUAUGACUGAUUAUAUUUAGUACAAUCAAUACAAACAAAAUAAAUUGGUUUUAAAAGAGUAACCAUCUAGAAGCUUAUAAACAAAUCAGUUUAAAUAAGAUGAUUUCUAUAUUUAAAUACAUUUGUAAAUAUGGUUGCCUCAGCUAUAAUAGAAACCUGAGUGCUACGGCGAACAUCCAUACGUCGGAGGCGUGAGAGAAUUGACGCGAGCGGAGCGACUCCGGCGCACACCACGGAAACGGCACGCGGCGCCGCUCGCUCAUGACAUAACAGUCAUCUGCAUC